Molecule: unclassified non-coding RNA, 202 nt
Filed under: rhizosphere metagenome
Description: partial ribosomal RNA internal transcribed spacer region
Source: RNAcentral
GUAGGUGAACCUGCGGAGGGAUCAUUACCAGAGAUGGCGGGCCCCCGCGCCCCCGUCCUUAACCCUUUGUUGACCCAAAACCAUUUUGCCUCGGGGGCAGAGCGUCCGCCGCCGCUCCCGGAGGACCACCAAACGCUGUCUCUAUACGUCGGAGUAUUGAUUAAAUAAAUAAAAACUUUCAACAACGGAUCUCUUGGUUCUG